GCCGGGUUCGCCUAGAUUGGUAGGGCGCAGGCUUGCUAAGCCUGUACCCCGUAAGGGGUGCGGGGGUUCGAGUCCCCCACCCGGCG
Molecule: transfer RNA, 86 nt
Filed under: Thermoprotei archaeon
Lineage: Archaea; Thermoproteati; Thermoproteota; Thermoprotei
Also listed under: 1 other name
Description: tRNA-Ser
Rfam family: tRNA
About the family: Transfer RNA (tRNA) molecules are approximately 80 nucleotides in length. Their secondary structure includes four short double-helical elements and three loops (D, anti-codon, and T loops).
Source: RNAcentral